CAGCCGCCGCGGUAAUACAGAGGGUGCAAGCGUUAAUCGGAUUUACUGGGCGUAAAGGGCGCGUAGGUGGUUAUUUAAGUGAGAUGUGAAAGCCCCGGGCUUAACCUGGGAACUGCAUCUUAUACUGGGUAACUGGAGUGCAGUAGAGGGUAGUGGAAUUUCCGGUGUAGUGGUGAAAUGCGUAGAUAUCGGAAGGAACACCAGUGGCGAAGGCGGCUACCUGGACUGAGACUGACACUGAGGCGCGAGAGCGUGGGGAGCAAACAGGAUUAGAUACCCGCGUAGUCCCUGUCUCUUAUAC
This 301-nucleotide ribosomal RNA is filed under the name uncultured bacterium. Its description in RNAcentral is "partial 16S ribosomal RNA". It matches the Rfam family "Bacterial small subunit ribosomal RNA", at positions 509 to 807 of the family's 1533-position model. The record is from RNAcentral.